Molecule: non-coding RNA, 517 nt
Organism: Biomphalaria pfeifferi
Lineage: Eukaryota; Metazoa; Mollusca; Gastropoda; Planorbidae
Source: the annotation of a GenBank genome assembly
CGUUUUUGAUAUUUUGGUUACAACAGACAAGAAGGACUUUGUUAACUUUUGUAUCUAUAAUAAUUCUGGAGCUAUGAUUUUUUUUGGUAAUCACAAAAAUUUUUAAAUAUAAUAAAGAUAAAUAUUAUAUUAUGUGAAGAUUAAUUAAAAAUUUUCUAUUUUCAGUUGACCUAAAAUAUUUAUAUUUACCUAAUAUUCAUAUUUAAUUCCUUUUAGAAUUUUUAUAGUCCACAUGUAUAACUUGUCAUGCUACGACACAUGAAUUAUUAAGGGAUAAAAUAUUCUGUAAUGAAUUUCACUUGUUUUCUCAAGUUCAAUAAGUUACAAAACAUGAUACACAACUGACAUGUGAGGCAAACAAAAAGUAAUGAGGAAAUCUAAAUGACAAACAAACUUGAGAGAUAGUGAGUUUUGUAGUGUUUUUGUUUUUAUUUACAAGAUUUUUUUUUUGUAAAUAGCACUCUGUGAUUUGAUAUGUAAUUUAUAAAUGUAAAUAUUUUUUUUUUUGAAUUAUCAA